UACGUAGGUGGCGAGCGUUAUCCGGAAUUAUUGGGCGUAAAGGGUGCGUAGGUGGUUUCUUAAGUCAGAGGUGAAAGGCUACGGCUCAACCGUAGUAAGCCUUUGAAACUGGGAAACUUGAGUGCAGGAGAGGAGAGUGGAAUUCCUAGUGUAGCGGUGAAAUGCGUAGAUAUUAGGAGGAACACCAGUUGCGAAGGCGGCUCUCUGGACUGUAACUGACACUGAGGCACGAAAGCGUGGGGAGCAAACAGGAUUAGAUACCCUGGUAGUCCCUGA
Molecule: ribosomal RNA, 276 nt
Filed under: uncultured prokaryote
Description: partial 16S ribosomal RNA
Rfam family: Bacterial small subunit ribosomal RNA
Source: RNAcentral